Molecule: long non-coding RNA, 1529 nt
Filed under: Homo sapiens (human)
Lineage: Eukaryota; Metazoa; Chordata; Mammalia; Primates; Hominidae
Description: LHRI_LNC1138.3
Source: RNAcentral
GGAAAACCAAGCAAAAGUCACUGUCAGGGGACCUCCCACCCACCAUACAGGGGAACACUCGGCAGAGCCAGAGGCCUGGGCCCAAGUCCUGCCACCAGCUGGCUGUGAAACUGUGGUACAGCACCUUGUGUCCUGCCACCAGCCGGCUGUGAAACUGGUACAGCACCUUGUCCUCAGGUCCUUGGUUUCCUCACUUGUAAAUUCAUGGUUCUCCAUGGCAUCUCUGGUCUUCAACAUUAUUUUGCAUAGAGUCUCAGAAGCUUUAGUGUGAGCGGAUGAUAUGGGCACGAAGCAAGGCACCCAGAAGUGGGGGCAACUACUCUGCUUUCUAAAAUGCAAGGGAACCGGAAAAUCCAGGAGCCGUGCCAAAUGAGAAGAGGAACAAAUGGAGGAACAUCCCAGUCAAGUGACAUUCCUAGUGACAUUCACCAGAACAGAGUCAAGCUUUGGAUCCCAUGUUCUGUGACUUCCUCUUCACCACGCUUCCUCCACACACGUAGCAGCUCAAGGGUUUCUGAUGAGUGGGGUCUAUGUUCCCUUUAUGAGCUGUAACGCACACCAUGAAGGUCUGCGGCUUGGCUAUUGAGUCAGUGAGAGCGUGAACCUACUAUUAGAAGAAAAACUCUGAAUACGUCUGAACGUCAGAAAGAACGAAGUUUGGACACAUUGUCUUUAAGAACUGUAACACUCACCCCAAGGGUUUAUGGAUUCAUUCUUGAAAUCAGUGAAACCAAAAGCUUUCCAAAGUUUAACACACAGGGAAAUGACUUACUGCAAAGAACCACUCUUCCCCACGAGACUUCGAGAAGACCCGCUGUCACGGACUGAGUUGUGUCCUCUUAAAAUUCAGAUGUUGGAGUCCAAACCCCCAGUAACUCAGAGUGUGAACGUAUUUGAAGAGGUCUUUAAAGAGGUGAUGAAGGUCUUUGUCUCUGACAAUUUGCCUCUGUGACGUGGAUGGGACUGGAAGUCCAUUUGGAGCCCUGUCUUCUCCACCUAGGGAGAGAGACCCCAUGAGCUCGUCAAGCUCCUUCUGUGACUGAUCAGAGAUCCCACCGUGAGUCCAGCUCCUGGUCCCAUGCUCUGGAUAUAUCGGUCCCUGGCAGCGUGGUAUCUCACAGAAUCUCUGACCAAUGGAGAGCUAAUCAAAGACAAGUUUAAUAGGUGAAGAAAAUACUUGGAUUGGGAGGAUGGCUGAAAAGUCCCAUUGAACAAGGCCCUCAAAUGGAGUUCCUGUGGAGUGGUCACCUUUUUGAUGACUUCAACUGGGAACAUCAGUACGGAACCAUCGCUGGGUGUUCAUUCCAUCACCCCUUCCUAUGUCCCUGCUCAGGACACCCUGCGUCUGUCUAUAUGCAUUGCUACCAGUUUAGACAGUGAGUUACAUUUAGUCCAUUUGUGCAUUGUUCUUUAUUGUAUCCAUGGUAUCUAGCACAAUUCUUGUUCUUAUUAGAGCUUGGUAAAUGUCAUUGAUUAAUCCAGGGCAGAUUAUCUCUCUCAUUUUCGUGAAUCCUCUGCAUAAACAAUUU